UCAGAUAUGUGGUAUUGAGGAGUAUGACUGGGUCGGAUUAUCUCAUUUCAAGAUGGGAUGUGUGGAUAUUUCUUGCGGGGUGCUUGAUAUGGAGGAUUCCCGCCGCUCUGUCCCUGUCUGCAAGUCAUGCUGUGCCGGAGACUUCUGUAACCACAACUGCACGAGACAUUCGCUCGGGGUCAUCAUCGGCUGAUGCAUGUCUGCUGUAUUUCCACAACUGGAAUAAAAAGUGAAUGUUUUGCACACAUUAUAUG
This is a long non-coding RNA of Mya arenaria, 254 nucleotides long. RefSeq lists it as uncharacterized. The record is from RefSeq and is a predicted model, not a curated record. Lineage: Eukaryota; Metazoa; Mollusca; Bivalvia; Myida; Myidae. The transcript has 3 exons.